This is an RNA transcript of Limanda limanda (common dab), 3893 nucleotides long. It is a transcript of the gene named septin 6, with no coding region annotated. The record is from RefSeq and is a predicted model, not a curated record. Lineage: Eukaryota; Metazoa; Chordata; Actinopteri; Pleuronectiformes; Pleuronectidae. The transcript has 11 exons.
CGGCUAACGGCUAUCUGCCAUGGCGUCCACCGAGAUAGCGAGACAAGCGGGUGAAGGUGCUCGUGCCGUCCCUCUGGCCGGCCAUGUCGGCUUUGACAGCAUGCCCGACCAGCUGGUCAACAAGUCUGUCAACCACGGAUUCUGCUUCAACAUCCUCUGUGUUGGUGAGACAGGUCUGGGGAAGUCCACACUGAUGGACACGUUGUUCAACACCAAGUUUGAGGGCGAGCCCACUCAGCACAACCAGCCGGGAGUCACACUCAAGUCCAACACCUACGAACUCCAGGAGAGCAACGUGCGCCUCAAGCUCACUGUUGUCAACACUGUAGGCUUUGGAGACCAGAUCAAUAAAGAACAAAGCUACAAGUCCAUUGUGGAGUUUAUUGAUGCCCAGUUUGAGGCAUAUCUGCAGGAAGAACUGAAAAUCAAGCGCACGCUACACAGCUACCACGACACCCGCAUCCACGCAUGCCUGUACUUCAUCGCUCCCACGGGACACUCGCUCAAAUCUCUCGACUUGGUGACCAUGAAGAAACUCGAUAGCAAGGUCAACAUAAUCCCAAUCAUCGCCAAGUCAGACGCCAUCUCCAAGAGCGAGCUGGCCAAGUUCAAAAUCAAAAUCACCAGCGAGCUGGUCAGCAACGGAGUGCAGAUCUACCAGUUCCCCACUGACGAUGAGUCUGUGGCAGAGAUCAACUCCACCAUGAACAGCCAUCUUCCGUUUGCAGUGGUGGGGAGCACAGAGGAAGUGAAGAUCGGGAACAAGAUGGUGAAGGCCCGGCAGUACCCCUGGGGGACAGUGCAGGUGGAAAAUGAGAAUCACUGUGACUUCGUCAAACUGCGAGAAAUGCUGAUCAGAGUGAACAUGGAAGACCUGCGAGAGCAGACUCACACACGCCACUAUGAGCUGUACCGCCGCUGCAAACUGGAGGAGAUGGGAUUUAAGGACACAGACCCUGACUGCAAGCCCUUCAGUCUGCAGGAAACGUAUGAAGCGAAGAGGAACGAGUUCAUGGGUGAGCUGCAGAAGAAAGAAGAGGAAAUGAGGCAAAUGUUUGUGCAAAGAGUCAAAGAGAAGGAGGCGGAGCUUAAAGAGGCAGAGAAAGAGCUGCACGAGAAGUUUGACCGUCUGAAGAAGCUCCACCAGGACGAGAAGAAGAAAGUGGAGGAUAAGAGGAAGUCCCUGGAUGACGAACUCAAUACGUUCAAACAGAAAAAGACUGCAGCAGAGCUCUUGCUGAAUCAAGCUCAGCAGGCAGGGGGCUCCACCACACUCAAGAGGGACAAAGAGAGGAAAAACUGAUGUGACUCCGUGCCUGUUAGAAAAAGGAAGACGACACUUGCACUGAGAAGCGUAGGACCCCUGUAGAAAAAGUGCUCCCUUGUGGCCGUCCUGCUGUGAAUGAGUUUCCACCCCAUCCUCCUUUACCAUACCCCCUCCCCAGCCUCACCCACCCCCCAGUAACUCAUCCCUCCACGCGCCUCCCUCCACUGCUCUGUGGAGGACGCUCGCCAUUGCUAACAGUCUGACAUCACUUGUUUUUGCAGAAUGAUGCUUGUCUGUUAUUUGGUUUGUAAGAGCUUUUUAUACACGUUGAUACAUUUCAUAUUUGUUUUGUAUUCAGUGAUUCUUUGCAUGACGAAGUGAGCUUGUUUUAAUAUUAACACACAUGACUUCUGUUGUGAUGGGCAGAAAUGUACUGAGGCUGAAGGGAAACAGGCAUCAGACACAGGGACAGUGUCAAAUGGUUAAGACGAUUAACAACUGAGUUGAUAAGUUAAUGUUAUAGAAACCUGUUGCAUCUGCAGCUUAGUGAUCCUUGAUUAUAUCUGAAACAGUAAAAAACAUUUAGUUAGUUAGUAACUAAUUAAUAAUGACUCAUUGUCUGUGGUUGAGUAGUUUGUCACUAGUUUAAAGUUUGCAAAAUUGGCCCUUUUUCCGUCAUGUGCCUAAACAAUCUGAUCCAUCAAAUUAGAUUUUCAUUGCACUUGGUUGUAUAGAAGCAUUAACUUAAAAAAGUAAGGUUUGAUAAACUUCUAAAAGGGAAAAAAUUUCCAAACCUCAGAGAGCCACAUGUGAGGGAUCCCUCUCCAAGGACGGAGAGAAGUGCAGUAUUUACAACAUUGAUGUUGUCAAUGUUUAAAGUAUUUAUACAUAAGAAAGUUUCUGAUAGAGAUAGAGAGAGCAGCAAUAUGCAUUUGCAGAUAUAUUUUCUAUUUAGGUAUUCAUGUCCCUUUGCUGAUGCUGUUUUACUUCAGCCUGAUGAACGAGUAAACGUGAGCCUCAUCUCUUUGCCACUUAUCCCAUACCUCAUUCAUUGUCAUGUGCUAUGUGCAUAUUUGUAUUAGCUUUCACAUUUGCACUUUUAUUUUUAACACACAUGUGAUCAUUUCUUUGAGUAUAUAUAAAUAUAUAUAUAUAUAUAUUAAUGUUGUCAGUGCAACUGUAACUUUCUUUUUUAUUUUAGUUAUUAUUAAGGCACGUUUAAAAAGUAAUUAAUCUUGUUGUUCAUGUCCUGCAGGGACCAAUGUUAUUUGUAUCAGUGUUGCGCAUUAAAAACAAAUUUCUUAAAAGAAAAUAAAGGCCAAUUUUUUACCAAAUGUUAAAGCUGUAACCAGAGUCAUUGUGUUUCACACAUGUCGCUGUAAAUUGAGAGAUUAGCUGAACCUCGGUGGGUAGCGUGUGUACACAGUGAAUGAAUGUUGAUGCCUCUAAGCCGUAUUUAUUUCUUUUCCGUUCAGGUCUUCUCCUUGAUUUUUCUCUACCUCGGGGUUCAUGGCUGCUUUUAUUGUGUGGUGAAAAUAAAAGGAUUAUCUUGAAUUGAAGCCAUCGCUGCAUUACAAACACUUUGAUUUCCAUGUGAUCUCAUAGAAGACCCUUUCCCACCUGCUAACCCUCAGCUCACUGUGUGUGGUGUCACUUUCCUUUGCAGUAAUCCCUGGCUCUGCACUGACUAGGUGCUCAACCUUCGAGCUUUGCUUGGGGAACCAGCCUUUGUCAGUUCUGAGCACCUCAAAUGUGACCAGAGGCUUUUUGGACUCCGUCCUUCAGGGUUUUCUUAAUCAUUACCUGCUCUUGCUUUAAUAUGGGUUCAUGUGUAUUUGUGUGUCACUGCUACUCUAACUUCACCUCAGGCGAUCUGAACCUUGCUUUAUUGCUUCUGUGUGUGUGUCCUGUUUAUGCUGAGACUAACACCCUUUUCCACUUGGGUUGUGAUGGAGAUUAUGUGCACACUUGUUUUAUUGUAAUAUUUGGAAAGCUCACACACGGAUCACAUUCAUGUAGAUACUCGUGUGGAAUUUGCGCACAUUCUACAAAAUGUAUUCACUGCUUUAAAAAUAGUCUGUGGGCACAAUACUCUCUUGUUAUUCACACUUUUUGUUGUUUAAAUGACAAAUCACAGGCACUUUACUGCCUGAUUUUGUAUUUAUGAUCACCUUUUUUCCUUCCUGAUAUCUAAUGCACUUUUAAAUCUUUGACCCUCACGUUUUUGUCCUGCUUUGCCCACCUCUCCUAACUGCCGGCUUUCUUUCUCUUUGUCUCUUCAGCUUCUUUUAAUCUGUCUUGGCCACCUGAAGAGGGGAUUGCAGCUUCGGCCAGAACUAAGCACCCUUUACCUCUUCCAGUUUUCUCUCGCUGUAUCAACCUUUUGUAUUUUCUCCGCCAUCCCAUCUGUUUUUGUUAAAUAUGGCCUUGUGUGGACUCUCAUGGUAUUUCAAACCACCCAAUGAAGAUCUAGACUUAGGCAUUUUGGGAACCGGGCACAAUUUAGUUUAAAUCUGCUAUGUCUUAAUGUAAAUAAAGCAACUCUUGUAGUUCAAAGAAGUCACCAGUAGGGGAUUUACACAUUUACAGGACUGGAGGACUUGAAAUAAAAUCGCAUUGACCGACA